This is a long non-coding RNA of Astatotilapia calliptera (eastern happy), 841 nucleotides long. Lineage: Eukaryota; Metazoa; Chordata; Actinopteri; Cichliformes; Cichlidae. The record is from Ensembl.
CCCUGUGACACCCCAUUGAAGAGCCGUAGGCUGUGGAUCUCUCAAGAUCUCACUGUUGGGUUUGUAAGGCCAUGUUACUCCUAAAUUUCUAUCUUGUUCAAAAAGAAGAUAUAAAACAAAGCUCUGAGCUAAUCGACCUUAGUGUUCUCCUUUUUAAAAAAAAUAAAUAAAUAAUCGAUAAAGAAUCGAAUCGUUAAACAGAAUCGAAAAUGGAAUCGGAAUCGUUAAAAUCUUAUCAGUACCCAUCCCUACCCAGCGUUGUGUGUUUGUGGACUUUUUUCAUUGUUGUGACCUUGAUUCAGUCACCCCAGCCAUAAACUGUUCAGACUGCUUCCAUCAGGAAGGAGGUUCUGCAGCAUCCGGUCCCGUACCAGCAGACUGAGAGACAGCUUCUUCCAUCAGGCCAUCAGACUGCUGAACACGUCAUAGACACCUCAGCUUCACUACUGGAACUUCAACAUUAUGCACUCCACACUGUAUAUAAAUGCCACUUGUUUUGCACAUAUUCAACUCUGUAUAUUUUAUAUAUUUUAUUAUUAUUAUUUUUUUUUUUUUUUACUAUUUAAUUUGUAAAAAAUGUGUAUACACACACACACACACACACACACACACACACACACACACACACACACGUAGGAAAAUAUUUAGUAUACACAUCCAGAAAUGCAUACACUAUUAUAUAUUGUACAUAUAUUUAUUAGUUUCAGGUUGGCCAUUCUUGUAUUUUGCUCGUUUGUGUUGUUGUGUUUGCACAUCUCUGUUGCUUGUGGGGCUCGCACACAAGAAUUUCACUCGCAUGUGCUGUGCCAGUGUGCCUGCACAUGUGAUGUGACAAUAAAAG